Molecule: ribosomal RNA, 201 nt
Filed under: uncultured bacterium
Lineage: Bacteria
Description: partial 16S ribosomal RNA
Rfam family: Bacterial small subunit ribosomal RNA
Source: RNAcentral
UACGGAGGGGGCUAGCGUUGUUCGGAAUUACUGGGCGUAAAGCGCACGUAGGCGGAUAUUUAAGUCAGGGGUGAAAUCCCAGAGCUCAACUCUGGAACUGCCUUUGAUACUGGGUAUCUUGAGUAUGGAAGAGGUAAGUGGAAUUGCGAGUGUAGAGGUGAAAUUCGUAGAUAUUCGCAGGAACACCAGUGGCGAAGGCGG